This 199-nucleotide long non-coding RNA is filed under the name Ictidomys tridecemlineatus (thirteen-lined ground squirrel). RNAcentral's name for it is "lncRNA (ENSSTOG00000030053.1)". The record is from RNAcentral. Lineage: Eukaryota; Metazoa; Chordata; Mammalia; Rodentia; Sciuridae.
UGCCUGUGUUUUAGGACAGAGGAUUCACUUGGGUGAUUCCAUUUUUCUUUCAGAAGCAGCUUAAUGAAGACAGCCAGACAUAAAAUCCUCAUUGUCCAGUUGGAUUUUGAUGAUGGCGCUCACAAUGCUCAGCUCAUUGCAUCAGCUAAAUACACUGCUAUCAAUGAAAUCAACAAAAUACAAGGAACUCAGGGCUGCA